GAGCAGACAGAGCGGCACGGUUGGAGGACGCCGCCCUGAGGGCUGCACUGGGGCAGAAACAUCCCGCACACCAGCGUCCGCAAGGGCUCGAAACAAGCCAGCUCCAUCAGCACCUGCACAACAAAAAAGAGAGUACAAAGAAAGGCUUAUUUUUCCUCUUCUUUGGCAAGUCACUACAAACGUUAUCUCUGUUCGCCUCGUCUGAUUGGUCCUGGCAGUUUGGAUGACCGUCACACACAGACACAGGCAGCAGACAGCGACCACCGUCACACAUGAACUCUUCUCUGGAGCAGCUCUCUGAGGAAACACACCGCAGAAAACAUGCACGGAUGCACAUGAAUUCAAAUGGAUAGGAGUGAAUGUAUUUAUUUGGAUGCAGACACAUGCACACUACUGACUGUGUCCAGGCAGUAUGGCCCUGUACUGCGCCGUGAAGCCGCUGCCUGUGAUGCUGCCAUCAGAGCGGAAGGUGACCCACACCGCGCUGCUGUUUGUGUUGACUGUUGGCGGUGCUACGUUACCACAGAACCUGUAGGAGAAAAAGAGACAUCUGUUCAUUAUCCGUGACUUUUCUUUGAUUAAUUCUCUCCACUCCUCUGAGCUCUGCACUGUUCUGUUUUAAAUUCUCAAAAGGAUUCACGAGAAAGACACUUUUUUAUUAAAACCACAAAU
This is a long non-coding RNA of Labrus mixtus (cuckoo wrasse), 672 nucleotides long. RefSeq lists it as uncharacterized. Lineage: Eukaryota; Metazoa; Chordata; Actinopteri; Labriformes; Labridae. The transcript is spliced from 3 exons. The record is from RefSeq and is a predicted model, not a curated record.